CAAAUACAGCUACCUCUGACGAAAACUCUGGUAUCAGAGCAUAACAUCCAUCCAAGGUUUAAAAAAUAAAAAGAAAAUCUUUUAAAAACGGUUUUGUCAAGAACCGAUCUAAAAAGAACAACAAAGGAUGACAUGGUAUUUGAAAAAGACACGUGGCUAAACGAGAGGUAUUUGAUUUAUCAAGUGAACAACAUUUGCUGAAAGUUACUUAACUUUCCCGCCACAAAGUUAGAGAAAAGCAAUCCGUAAACGUAGCAAGUAGAAAUACUAGUAGAAAAUACCAGAGAGUAAAAUACAAAAUAAAUACAUAGAUUUAGGAUGCAUGAGAAAUCCACGUGAUUAUCUGACAAGAUUGCGG
Molecule: long non-coding RNA, 358 nt
Filed under: Trifolium pratense (red clover)
Lineage: Eukaryota; Viridiplantae; Streptophyta; Magnoliopsida; Fabales; Fabaceae
Description: long non-coding RNA (TPRA_LNC005971)
Source: RNAcentral